RNAcentral lists this transfer RNA (71 nucleotides) under Schizolecis guntheri. RNAcentral's name for it is "tRNA-Gln". It matches the Rfam family "tRNA". Rfam says of the family: Transfer RNA (tRNA) molecules are approximately 80 nucleotides in length. Their secondary structure includes four short double-helical elements and three loops (D, anti-codon, and T loops). Lineage: Eukaryota; Metazoa; Chordata; Actinopteri; Siluriformes; Loricariidae. The record is from RNAcentral.
UGGAAAGUGGUGUAGUGGAAGCACUUAGAGUUUUGAUCUCUGGGGCGGGGGUUCGAGCCCCUCCUUUCCAA